This is a non-coding RNA of Ciona intestinalis (vase tunicate), 280 nucleotides long. NCBI's taxonomy places the organism in Eukaryota, Metazoa, Chordata, Ascidiacea, Phlebobranchia, Cionidae. The record is from RefSeq and is a predicted model, not a curated record.
UGUACACCUAAGAAGAAUGUUGUUAAUAAAAUUUUGAAAGAAAAUAAUAUUCUGCCCCUUUGGGAAAUAUUUUUUCUAAAUGGAUGUGUUCUUAUAUAGGUAGUGAGGUCGAGGAUUAGGCCAGAUUUGACUCAUUACCCCACCACCUAGACUGCUCCAUACCAAGCCUUGAACCCAGCCCCUCCUACUAACCACUCACCACUUGUCCAUUAUCCAACAUCAUGAUGUCAUCAUCUGCGAGGUCGUCUUGACAAAAGUCGGUGCAUUUCUCUGAAACUGA